Molecule: ribosomal RNA, 316 nt
Filed under: Foraminifera environmental sample
Lineage: Eukaryota; Foraminifera
Description: SSU rRNA
Rfam family: Eukaryotic small subunit ribosomal RNA
Source: RNAcentral
AAGGGCACCACAAGAACGCGUGGAGCAUGUGGCUUAAUUUGACCCAACACGAGAAAUCUUACCGGGUCCGGACACACUGAGGAUUGACAGGUAUUAUUACUUAAUUCUUUUAAGUAUGUUAAAUAUGCUAGUCCUUUCAUGAUUAUGUGAUAGGUGGUGCAUGGCCGUUCUUAGUUCGUGGAGUGAUCUGUCUGCUUAAUUGCGUUUCACAAAGGGCUUUAUAACUUUCGCCUGUUGCGCGGCAUUCUGGUCUGUCUCUGGCAGCAGGUGUCUGUGCACGGUGAAGAAAAAGUCCUGAAAGCAACGAACGUGACCG